This 253-nucleotide ribosomal RNA is filed under the name uncultured bacterium. Its description in RNAcentral is "partial 16S ribosomal RNA". It matches the Rfam family "Bacterial small subunit ribosomal RNA", at positions 524 to 776 of the family's 1533-position model. The record is from RNAcentral.
UACAGAGGGGGCAAGCGUUGUUCGGAAUUACUGGGCGUAAAGGGCGCGUAGGCGGCCUUCUAAGUCGAACGUGAAAUCCCUGGGCUCAACCCAGGAACUGCGUCUGAUACUGGAUGGCUUGAGGUUGGGAGAGGGAUGCGGAAUUCCAGGUGUAGCGGUGAAAUGCGUAGAUAUCUGGAGGAACACCGGUGGCGAAGGCGGUUCUCUGGGCCUUACCUGACGCUGAGGAGCGAAAGCAUGGGGAGCAAACAGG